RNAcentral lists this ribosomal RNA (253 nucleotides) under uncultured bacterium. RNAcentral's name for it is "partial 16S ribosomal RNA". It matches the Rfam family "Bacterial small subunit ribosomal RNA", at positions 524 to 776 of the family's 1533-position model. The record is from RNAcentral.
UACGAAGGGUGCUAGCGUUGUUCGGAUUUACUGGGCGUAAAGCGCACGUAGGCGGAUCGAUCAGUCAGGGGUGAAAUCCCAGAGCUCAACUCUGGAACUGCCUUUGAUACUGUCGAUCUGGAGUAUGGAAGAGGUGAGUGGAAUUCCGAGUGUAGAGGUGAAAUUCGUAGAUAUUCGGAGGAACACCAGUGGCGAAGGCGGCUCACUGGUCCAUUACUGACGCUGAGGUGCGAAAGCGUGGGGAGCAAACAGG